AUACGUAGGGGGCGAGCGUUAAUCGGAAUUACUGGGCGUAAAGCGCGCGUAGGUGGUUCAGUCAGUCAGAUGUGAAAGCCCCGGGCUCAACCUGGGAACUGCACCUGAUACUGCUGAGCUAGAGUACGGUAGAGGGCAGUGGAAUUUCCGGUGUAGCGGUGAAAUGCGUAGAGAUCGGAAGGAACACCAGUGGCGAAGGCGACUGCCUGGACUGAUACUGACACUGAGGUGCGAAAGCGUGGGUAGCAAACAGGAUUAGAUACCCUGGUAGUCCACGCCGUAAACGAUGUCAACUAGCCGUUGGGGGACUUGAUCCUUUAGUGGCGAAGCUAACGCGAUAAGUUGACCGCCUGGGGAGUACGGCCGCAAGGUUAAAACUCAAAUGAAUUGACGGGG
RNAcentral lists this ribosomal RNA (396 nucleotides) under uncultured bacterium. Its description in RNAcentral is "partial 16S ribosomal RNA". It matches the Rfam family "Bacterial small subunit ribosomal RNA", at positions 523 to 918 of the family's 1533-position model. The record is from RNAcentral.